UCGCUUAUGUUACGCACUUCACUCCGCUAACUGACAUGACAUUCCUGUCAUUCAAACGGUGCAACGGUUUAUAAGUGUCUUUAUUUUGUGGAUUUGUGAAUUAAAUAAUAUAAAUAAAUAUGGAUAAAACUACAACUAUCAGAUAAAAAAGCUGCCGUUUUCUUCUUCCGAAAGAGAGCUGCUGAUUGUAGCUUAAUAAGAGAAAGGCCUAUUAUUGAAGACAAGCAUAUUAUUAUCCUCUCUAAAAUAUCGAGUUGACGAAGCAGACCUGGGAAACUCUAACAGUGGCUUACAAUUCUCAACCAUAUUUUAUGUUUCACAAAGGCUCACACAUCAACUGAAAAGCUGCUGGAAUAAUUUAAAGACCCAAAGAAUGAAAGAACUUUCUCAGGAAUCAAUCAAACGUUCUCAACACCCACUAGUAGGUAUCAAGAAAUUAAGAUUAGUAGUAGCAAGAAUGAAGAUUAAGACAGAAACAAGAAUCAAACGCACCACAUUGAAUAAUAUACAACAAGACCAGGCUUUGCACGAGUUGGGGCUACAAAGAGAAAAAAUAUUGAUAGAAAGAGAAAACAAUCUGUUAGAACAUGAAAAAAAGCUUUAUGAUUUACAAAUACAUAAAAUUAAAUUAGACAUUGAAGAUUGAUGAAAUAAAACUUUAUUAAAAAUUUUAUGUUUUAUUUGCCACUAGCAACUGAUACAUUAUGUAGGUGGCACUGGAAGGCCUCCUCGCAGUUAAUUUCCUCAGGUCUUCUUUUAUCAGUGGUAAAAGUAUGAAAAGUACCCCAUCAUUGGAAAACCUAAACUAAAUUCGUCUGAAUUGUAAUAAUCAAAGGGAUUUUGGGAAUCCCGUAUCACUUUUCUGGUACUUAUUCUACUUUGCUCAUUGAUAUAAUUAUCAAAUUCUUCUUCACUACUGUAAUCCAUUGUAAGAUAAUAUUAAUCAAAUACAACCAUAAAUAAAGCAAACAAACCUCAAAAACGAGAAUAACCUAAAAAUUUUGACGUAAAUAGACACUAUGCGUUGCGUAAUACAGCUCCCUGGCUACCUUAGCUUUGCGUUCAUUCUAAGGGACGCAUAGUGCUUGUCACCACUGAAGUAUCGUCUAUGAAUAGGUUUUUGGGACCCUGUGCAUCCACGCGCACUAUGAGGCCUCAAAGUAAUGUUUGUGAAUACGGGUGUUAGA
Molecule: long non-coding RNA, 1187 nt
Organism: Ostrinia nubilalis (European corn borer)
Lineage: Eukaryota; Metazoa; Arthropoda; Insecta; Lepidoptera; Crambidae
Exons: 3
Source: RefSeq, a predicted model, not a curated record